This 404-nucleotide RNase P RNA is filed under the name Treponemataceae bacterium. RNAcentral describes it as "RNase P RNA component class A". It matches the Rfam family "Bacterial RNase P class A". From Rfam's summary of the family: Ribonuclease P (RNase P) is a ubiquitous endoribonuclease, found in archaea, bacteria and eukarya as well as chloroplasts and mitochondria. Its best characterised activity is the generation of mature 5'-ends of tRNAs by cleaving the 5'-leader elements of precursor-tRNAs. Cellular RNase Ps are ribonucleoproteins. The record is from RNAcentral. Lineage: Bacteria; Pseudomonadati; Spirochaetota; Spirochaetia; Treponematales; Treponemataceae.
ACAGACGGGAUAUAACCGCGCCAUACCUUCCUGAUGAAAGGGAGGCAUGGUGAGGAAAAGUCCGGGCUCCUCCGGAAAAAAUGCCGGAUAAUUUCCGGGCGGCCUGCCUAGUUCUGCAUGAAGCCAUGCAGAACUAGGCGCCGACAGACAGUGCAACAGAAAAUAUACCGCACGGCUUGCCGUGCAAGGGUGAAAAGGCAGUGCAAGAGACUACCGCAUGGGUGGCAACACGCAUGGCAGUGCAAACCUCAUUUGGAGCAAAAUCAAGCAGAAGCAUGCUUUUCCGGGCUGAAGCUUCGGGUGGAUUGCGGAAAAUCCGCCGGGCGACCGGCGGGUAAGAUAGAUGGUUAUGGUGCCGUGAAAGCGGCAUUGCCAGAACCCGGCUUACUGUCCCGUCUGUUUUU